AGCACUUCCACUGCACUCUGUUGAUCAAAGCAAGUCACAAAGCCUGCCCUGAGUCAAGGGAGAGGAAAUGGCUUCUAUUUCUCUAAAGGAGGAACAAUAUGCACACAUAGGGAGAGAUGAAUCAACAGUGGCCAUCUUUGGAGACUAUCUACUGCAGAUUUUAUAAGGGCGCAGAUGAAGGACGCUCUUUUCUGCUUCAGGUGAGGUGGGGAGGAGCAGAUGUUUUGCCUCUAGUGAGACAAUAAUUUACUUCCCUAUUAUUGUUUGACUUUGCCUUGUUUCUGCCUAUGAAUUACUAACAGAGGCUUGCAGCACUAUCUAUGGGGCCUGAAACAUACAAUAAGGGGCCAGAAGGCCUUGAGAGAGCUGAAAAAGAAAUCAUCACCCUAGCCUCACCCAGUCACCUGUCUCCAGGCAAAAUAAUUCCCUGUCCUUCAUGAUGAUUCGGAGAAGACCAGCCCCACUCAGCUGCUGUUGCCAACCAACCAUAGUUCUUGUUACCCUGGGCCACAAGUGCCUUAUCCACUAGAUUGAGAAAGUUAAUGCCAGAGGGAAGUGAGAAACUAACUAUGGAAGAGUGGACCCAUGUUGCAAAAACAAAGUUCUAGGGAAAGACGUGAACAAAGAUGGGUGAGUAUGAAUGGGGUCUGACUGGAACAUGGCAGAGAAGAAAUUCAACUAUGCAAUGAGAUAAAGCAAAGAUUCUAAUGAAAGACUGAUGUGGUCAUAAACAAACAAACAAACAAACAAAAAACAGGUGCCCAAUGAAUACUUCUAACUGAAAAAAAAUCUGAAGAUGCUGGUCAGAGGAUCCUCAGGAGGGAAAAAACCUGACUUUCCUUGGUAAGGGCCUGUGGAGCAAGUAAUUGCAGCUUGAACCAUGGGGUCUCCUUGGAGCUGCGGGCACCAAGCAUCAGAUCUGAACACAGAAGCUGGGCCAGUUUGUUAAGUAGGGUGCGGCAGAGACUGUUAGUUGCCUAUCCAAUAUCCAGUCUCCUCUUUUUCCUUGGUCACAUAACCCAGAUUUUAAUCUGGGUGGCAGUGUGCUCAGCUGAAAGACUACACUUGGAAGCCACAUUUGCAGCCUGAGGGCCAGUGAGACAUAAGCAGAAGUUGUUGGGUAGUCUUCUGUGGACUCCUUAAGAGGGAAUAGACUACUCACAGACUCCUUUUUCUCCUUCUCCCUUCCUUCCAUGCCUUUCUGGAACAGGAAGUUUAACAUGAUGAUUGGCGCUCUAGCUGUCACAUUGGACCAUGAAGUUAUGUUGUUUUUUUUUUUAAUUAAUUUUUAGUUUUAUUUCAGUGGUUUUGGGGGUAUAGGUGGUUUUUGAUUCCACGGAUAGGUUCUUUGGUGGUGAUUUCUGAGAUUUUAGAGCAGUGUACACUGUACCCAAUAUGUAGUCUCUUAUCCCUCACCCCUCCCAACUUCUCCCCACACCGAGUCCCCAAAGUCCGCUAUGUCAUUCUUAUACCUUUGCAUCCUCAUAGCUUAGGAAGUGAUCUUGAAGAUGAAAGCCAUAUUCUAAGGAUGGCAGGACGAAAAGAUAAAACUUUGAUGAUGCUGUAUCUCCCAUACCAGCCAGACUCCAGCCUUCUUUUAUAUGAGAGAGAAAUAAGCUUCUAUGUUGUUGAAAACACUGUUACUUCUUCAUUCACCCAGGACAUCACAAGCUUAGUGAUCUUGGAAAGGCUUUGACAGAGGAGUGAAAAACUGGCGUGUUUUGGUUUGUUUAUUUGUUUCAGUUAAAUAAACUGUAAGACAAAGGUGAUUUAAAAUGACAAAAUAUAGUCUCUGAGCUCAGUCAUAAAAAGGAAUCAAGGGAUUAUGUAAUUGUAUUAUGUAUUUAUUUGGUCUAAACAAAAAAGAGCUUUAUUCUCUCAUGUAAGUGAGUAGUCCGGAGGUCACGUGGGCUUCAGAUAAGGCCUCAUGAACAGCUGGACGAGACAAUGAAGACCCAGUGUCUUUCUGUCUCUUCUUAGUCUCCAUGGUGACGGCUUUAUUCUUGGGCUGUCUUGCCA
RNAcentral lists this long non-coding RNA (2019 nucleotides) under Homo sapiens (human). Its description in RNAcentral is "HSALNT0376861". Lineage: Eukaryota; Metazoa; Chordata; Mammalia; Primates; Hominidae. The record is from RNAcentral.